Molecule: unclassified non-coding RNA, 351 nt
Filed under: soil metagenome
Description: partial contains 5.8S ribosomal RNA, internal transcribed spacer 2, and large subunit ribosomal RNA
Rfam family: 5.8S ribosomal RNA (bases 1-120)
Source: RNAcentral
GAUGAAGAACGCAGCGAAAUGCGAAAAGUAAUGUGAAUUGCAGAAUUCAGUGAAUCAUCGAAUCUUUGAACGCACAUUGCGCCCGCCAGUAUUCUGGCGGGCAUGCCUGUCUGAGCGUCAUUUCAACCCUCACGCCCCUAGGGCGUGGUGUUGGGGAUCGGCCAAGGCCCGCAAGGGACGGCCGGCCCCUAAAUCUAGUGGAGGACCCAUCGUGGCCUCCCCUGCGAAGUAGUAAUAUAUUCCGCAUCGGAUAGCGAUGAGCCCCUGCCGUUAAACCCCCAACUCUUUCAAGGUUGACCUCAGAUCAGGUAGGAAUACCCGCUGAACUUAAGCAUAUCAAUAAGCGGAGGA